GAUGAACGCUGGCGGCGUGCUUAACACAUGCAAGUCGAACGAAGCAUUUGCGACAGAUUUUUUCGGAAUGAGGUUGCUUAUGACUGAGUGGCGGACGGGUGAGUAACGCGUGGGUAACCUGCCUUGUACUGGGGGAUAGCAGCUGGAAACGGCUGGUAAUACCGCAUAAGCGCACAAUGUUGCAUGACAUGGUGUGAAAACUCCGGUGGUAUAAGAUGGACCCGCGUCUGAUUAGCUAGUUGGUGAGAUAACAGCCCACCAAGGCGACGAUCAGUAGCCGACCUGAGAGGGUGACCGGCCACAUUGGGACUGAGACACGGCCCAGACUCCUACGGGAGGCAGCAGUGGGGAAUAUUGCACAAUGGAGGAAACUCUGAUGCAGCGACGCCGCGUGAGUGAAGAAGUAAUUCGUUAUGUAAAGCUCUAUCAGCAGGGAAGAUAGUGACGGUACCUGACUAAGAAGCUCCGGCUAAAUACGUG
RNAcentral lists this ribosomal RNA (480 nucleotides) under uncultured bacterium. RNAcentral describes it as "partial 16S ribosomal RNA". It matches the Rfam family "Bacterial small subunit ribosomal RNA", at positions 28 to 507 of the family's 1533-position model. The record is from RNAcentral.